AUAACACUCCAAAUAAAUGACAUACAUUAGAUACAAAACAAAUUAACUAAUCAGUAGCAUAGUAAUCAAUUGAAUAACAACAAAACAAAAUCGCCAGUGGAAAUAAAAUCUAAAUUGAUCAAAAGUUACUUGAAUUGAAGAGGAUCGGAGGAUUGGAUUGGAGUGAAGAGGGGAAAGAGGUGUAUUUGAUAUCUGUAUUCAAAAUCGCCAGUCGGACACAAAGGAGAAAUCGCCAGUCGGACACAAAGGAGGGUUUGGUUUAUAGGAUUCGCUCGAAAUUGAAAUCGCCAGUGGGUUUGGUUUUCGCAGCAGGAGGGAGGCUUUACAAAUUAUCUGAAUUGAAGGAUGAGGGAGGCUUUACACAUUAUCGCAGCAGAGGAUGAGGGAUUCGUUCGAAGAAGAAAUAGCAUCAGGGUUUGGUAUCGCAGAUGAUGGAGGCUUUACACAUUAUCGCAUCAUUUUCUUCGCAUCAGCAGUGAAAUAGGAGGAUUUAAUUGAAGAAGAAAUCGCAGGUGGGUUGAUGGAGGAAGAAAUCGCAGGGCGGGGGGGUUUGUG
RNAcentral lists this long non-coding RNA (555 nucleotides) under Panax ginseng (ginseng). RNAcentral's name for it is "long non-coding RNA (PGIN_LNC016832)". Lineage: Eukaryota; Viridiplantae; Streptophyta; Magnoliopsida; Apiales; Araliaceae. The record is from RNAcentral.